RNAcentral lists this non-coding RNA (50 nucleotides) under Chelatococcus asaccharovorans. RNAcentral describes it as "Guanidine-II riboswitch aptamer (mini-ykkC)". It matches the Rfam family "Guanidine-II riboswitch aptamer (mini-ykkC)". From Rfam's summary of the family: Simpler in structure and has fewer highly conserved nucleotide positions than the ykkC-yxkD leader. Lineage: Bacteria; Pseudomonadati; Pseudomonadota; Alphaproteobacteria; Hyphomicrobiales; Chelatococcaceae. The record is from Rfam by way of RNAcentral.
UUGCCGGGACGACCCGGCAGGUUCAUCCGAAACCGGUGGGGACGGCCCUG